UGUAGCUCCCUUCUUUGCAGAUGCAUACAUGAGAUAACUUCACUUUCUGAAGAACUGUUUUUUCUGGUUGUUUACCUCUACAAGAAGAAACAAAUAUGGUUAGUAAGUCUAACCCCUUUGGUCACAUUGGAGGCUUGCACAGUUUGAAACUCCUGUUAGCCAGAUUCUCUUAUUUUUUGUAGUAAAUAAGUGCCAUGAUUUAAAAAUGUUCCAAACUUUCUGAAAAUAAUUCAGACCUAUUUAGUGAUUCCCUACCAGUGUAAGUCAAUGGUAAUACUUCUGUUGACUUAAAUGGGGCAGGAUUUCACCCCUUGACUCUGUCCGCUGGUGAUGCCAUAAAGGGAAAACUAUGAAAAAUAUCUAACUUGUUUUAAAAAAUCAGUUUAACCAAAUCUGGGAUCACAAAUACUAAAAUGUUCGUUUAUGACAUUAUUACAGGGCGGCGUUAAGGUUGUUUGGGUACCUUAACUAUAUACAUGUUUUACUUUAACAUGUUUGGAUUUUUUUAAGUGCAACCUAAAUCCUGAAUAUCCUGGUUUCUAAUACUUGAAUAUUAUGCAUAUACUUGGGUUUCAAAUAAUUAUAACAUCUCUAAUAUAUUCUACCCUUAAGUCACAGAUAUAUCACUCCAUUUUAAUGCAGUUUUAUCUGAAAAUGUCCUUAGUUUUUAAAAAUUGUUUAAAAGUUCAUGUAUGAAAACUAAACAAGAAGCCCAAAGACAAUUUGACCAUUUGGUCUUUCUAAUUAUAUAAAGAUAUAUAAUAUCAAACCUCAAUCAUUUUUUGUUAACUUUUAAGGGCAAAUUGUCCAGUAUACCAGAGCAGCAUAAAGCAGCCAGAGGAAGACAAUAUGAGACUGACAGUUCUGAAUGUUGAGAAGAGAAUUUAAUUUCCCUGAUGUAAUCGCACAAGAAAGAUGGAUAUUAGGCUAGAAUGCAGGAUACAUUUCAUACCUUUUUAAUACAUCUGUUUCUUUAAAUUAAAAGCUCUGUUUUUGUUGUUAAAAAGGUCUGACAUACAGAAUCUACAAUAAAGGGGUUUUAAGUUACAAAUGAUAGACUUGAAAACAUUACUGACAAGCUGGAAUUUUAAUACAUACUAGAGAUUUUUCUUGCCCUUUGAAGACAAGAAGAAGCAGUUACAAAAACUGAUGCACUUCUCUGGAGUGUGGGGAUAUGGAAGUUUGCUGAUUAUCAUGAUUGCCAUUCUUGGCCAGAAGAACAGAGAAUUCACCUCUCCCAUGGUAUGCAGGAGCAGUACAAGACCAUUGACAAUGUACAGCUGACAGAUAGUAAUAACAGGUCAGGUAUGUACUAUUCUUUGUUCCUACAAUUGUUGUCAUAAGAAAUUAUACAUAUUGUUGCAUUUUCAAUUCUUGUACAGAGUUUGUCACUACAAGGAAGCAUCUGAAUUUUAAUAUCAGUGCUUUGGAUGGCCCUAUUCUCCUCUGUUGACAGCACCAGUAGUAACUCAUGUGAAAGUGGAAAUGACUAGUAUUCAAAAUAGAGAAUAAAAAAGUUCAGUGUAGGACCAC
Dermochelys coriacea (leatherback sea turtle) is the source of this 1533-nucleotide long non-coding RNA. RefSeq lists it as uncharacterized. The transcript is spliced from 2 exons. NCBI's taxonomy places the organism in Eukaryota, Metazoa, Chordata, Testudines, Dermochelyidae. The record is from RefSeq and is a predicted model, not a curated record.